This 368-nucleotide long non-coding RNA is filed under the name Capsella rubella. RNAcentral describes it as "long non-coding RNA (CRUB_LNC003822)". The record is from RNAcentral. Lineage: Eukaryota; Viridiplantae; Streptophyta; Magnoliopsida; Brassicales; Brassicaceae.
UAAAAAUAUAUAAUUAAGAAAUAACGAACUUAAAUAGAACAAAGAAAGUUGCCAAGCCUAUCGUGAAAUGAUUAUUUCGAAUAUGAUUAUAAUUGACCAGUAAUUACGGAAACAUCUAUUACGGCCACAUCCCACAUGCAAAAGGUUAUGUCAUACUUAUACGUCAACUUUUUCAUUUGAAUCUUGCUUUCUGUAAAAUCUAAGAAAACAAAAUAAAGGUAAAAAAUUGUGAAAAGUAAAAAGGAAAAAAAAAAUUAACUGCAAAGUAAAGAAGAGAAUAAAAUAAAAUUAUUGAUCUUAAACUUUGAGCCUUUGAUCUAUGUGCAAAUGUGUUGUUUUAAAAAAAUGAUAGCUACGUACAAGUUGCG